AGUUAAUGAACUUGUACAAGUAUAUAUUUUGAAAAUAUAACAAAGAAGUUUAACUCUUCUAUUGACUU
Molecule: transfer RNA, 68 nt
Filed under: Cymbiodyta marginella
Lineage: Eukaryota; Metazoa; Arthropoda; Insecta; Coleoptera; Hydrophilidae
Description: tRNA-Ser
Source: RNAcentral